GAUGAAGAACGCAGCAAAAUGCGAUAAGUAAUGUGAAUUGCAGAAUUCAGUGAAUCAUCGAAUCUUUGAACGCACAUUGCGCCCGCCAGUAUUCUGGCGGGCAUGCCUGUUCGAGCGUCAUUUCAACCCUCAAGCACAGCUUGGUGUUGGGACUCGCGUUAAUUCGCGUUCCCCAAAUUGAUUGGCGGUCACGUCGAGCUUCCAUAGCGUAGUAGUAAAACCCUCGUUACUGGUAAUCGUCGCGGCCACGCCGUUAAACCCCAACUUCUGAAUGUUGACCUCGGAUCAGGUAGGAAUACCCGCUGAACUUAAGCAUAUCAUAAGCGGAGG
RNAcentral lists this unclassified non-coding RNA (330 nucleotides) under soil metagenome. RNAcentral's name for it is "partial contains 5.8S ribosomal RNA, internal transcribed spacer 2, and large subunit ribosomal RNA". The stretch from base 1 to 120 matches the Rfam family "5.8S ribosomal RNA", at positions 35 to 154 of the family's 154-position model. The record is from RNAcentral.